UUUCACUUUACACAGCCAUUAGUUGCUAAACAUUUAUUUAUGGCCAAAUAUUUCGCGUUCCAUAUUAAUGCGCACACUUUUAUGCAAGCGCCGAAAAUUAAUGUAUGGCUUUGAUUAAAAAUCUGCAUAAUAAAAUACAUUUCGAGUCAGUUUCCCUUUGUGGUCUUUUUUCUGGCUUUGGUCGAUCCGAGAUUGCGGCGGCGUUUCGUGAUUCAUUGUGGGAAUAUUGUUGGUCAGGCGCAUACGAUACGGUACGGAUUAGGCCACCCAUUUCAUUUUGAUUUGCAUUAUUUGUUAACUUUUAGAUAGAACUUACAAACCUGAAAAUUAUGGGUUAAAUAGACUUUAAAAGAAAAGGUAUAAAAAAGUAUAAAAAAGUAAGUGAGGAAAGGAAACACUUUUCCCUGUCCAACAGCUGCUGCAGCUCUCCUCCUGAUCCUGCUACUGUUCCGUGCCUGUUCCUGCUGCCUUGUUGUGGGUAUUGCCAAUUUAAGCGCAAAUGCAAUUGGAAUUUGCAAUGAAUAUUUAAACAAACGUACACACAGCGAGUGGAGUGGAGAGUGUGGAGUAGUGACUGGCGAUGGU
Molecule: long non-coding RNA, 585 nt
Filed under: Drosophila guanche
Lineage: Eukaryota; Metazoa; Arthropoda; Insecta; Diptera; Drosophilidae
Source: RNAcentral